Molecule: microRNA precursor, 67 nt
Filed under: Alligator mississippiensis (American alligator)
Lineage: Eukaryota; Metazoa; Chordata; Crocodylia; Alligatoridae
Description: Ami-Mir-221-P1c_pre stem-loop
Rfam family: mir-221 microRNA precursor family
Source: RNAcentral
UGCUCAGUAGUCGGUGUAGAAUCUGUCUGACAUUGAUACCAACAGCUACAUCUGAUUACUGGGUCAC